Propionivibrio sp. is the source of this 78-nucleotide non-coding RNA. Lineage: Bacteria; Pseudomonadati; Pseudomonadota; Betaproteobacteria; Rhodocyclales; Rhodocyclaceae. The record is from Rfam.
CUGGGCCGCUGGAGACGGCGGCUGAAUACCGUGGAGAAGUCAGCAGAGGGCAUAGUAGGCGGCGCCCCGCCGAAGGCC